CAAUAGCGUAUAUUUAAGUUGCUGCAGUUAAAUAGCUCGUAGUUGGAUUUCGGGUGGGAAUGGCCGGUCCGCCGUUUCGGUGUGCACUUGCUACGCCCACCUUGCUGCCGGGGACGUGCUCUUGAGUUCACGCUCGGGACACGGAGUCGGCGAGGUUACUUUGAGUAAAUUAGAGUGUUCAAAGCAGGCCUACGCUCUGAAUACAUUAGCAUGGAAUAACACGAUAGGACUCUGGCCUAUCUUGUUGGUCUGUAGGACCGGAGUAAUGAUUAAGAGGGACAGUCGGGGGCAUUCGUAUUUCAUUGUCAGAGGUGAAAUUCUUGGAUUUAUGAAAGACGAACUACUGCGAAAGCAUUUGCCAAGGAUGUUUUCAUUAA
This 377-nucleotide ribosomal RNA is filed under the name uncultured eukaryote. RNAcentral's name for it is "partial 18S ribosomal RNA". It matches the Rfam family "Eukaryotic small subunit ribosomal RNA", at positions 592 to 976 of the family's 1831-position model. The record is from RNAcentral.